GCACAGCCCCGAUGGGGUUGCCGGACGAGGGCGCAGUACCCGGAACGCGACAAGACUGACCACU
This is a regulatory RNA element of Plantibacter sp. Leaf314, 64 nucleotides long. Lineage: Bacteria; Bacillati; Actinomycetota; Actinomycetes; Micrococcales; Microbacteriaceae. The record is from Rfam.